GACGAACGCUGGCGGCGUGCUUAACACAUGCAAGUCGAACGGAAAGGCCCUGCUUUUGUGGGGUGCUCGAGUGGCGAACGGGUGAGUAACACGUGAGUAACCUGCCCUUGACUUUGGGAUAACUUCAGGAAACUGGGGCUAAUACCGGAUAGGAGCUCCUGCUUCAUGGUGGGGGUUGGAAAGUUUCGGCGGUUGGGGAUGGACUCGCGGCUUAUCAGCUUGUUGGUGGGGUAGUGGCUUACCAAGGCUUUGACGGGUAGCCGGCCUGAGAGGGUGACCGGCCACAUUGGGACUGAGAUACGGCCCAGACUCCUCCGGGAGGCAGCAGUGGGGAAUAUUGCACAAUGGGAGGAAGCAUGAUGCAGCAACGCCGCGUGCGGGAUGACGGCAUUCGGGUUGUAAACCGCUUUCGCCUGUGACGAAGCGUGAGUGACGGUAAUGGGUAAAGAAGCACCGGCUAACUACGUG
Molecule: ribosomal RNA, 468 nt
Filed under: uncultured bacterium
Lineage: Bacteria
Description: partial 16S ribosomal RNA
Rfam family: Bacterial small subunit ribosomal RNA
Source: RNAcentral